Molecule: long non-coding RNA, 2456 nt
Organism: Talpa occidentalis (Iberian mole)
Lineage: Eukaryota; Metazoa; Chordata; Mammalia; Eulipotyphla; Talpidae
Exons: 3
Source: RefSeq, a predicted model, not a curated record
UACUCUCUAACCCCCUCAACGGGUACUCUCUAACCGGCCUCAGCAAGGAGGAAACACUCUACUGGUGGUUUUGAGGAAGAGGAGGAGCUGGGCAUGACUAUUUCUGAUCCUUCUGCUCAUCGUGGCAAGAGGUCACCGCUUAGGGUGUGCCAAUCAGAGUUGGCUCUUCAGUGUUGUACCAGGAAAUCUGUGUUCUCCCAGGCCAAGAAGAAUAACCGAAGACUUUACUUUUCAAAGCUGUUGACCUCCUUAAGAUAAAUCUAGAAGGGAAAUCUGAGAUCGUUACAGCUCUUGUGGCUAUGAUGGCUGAGGAUAAAUCACUGGGAAAAAACAGGGUCAGAAUGCAGAGUCAGGAGGAUGAGGGUGCCUGUGUGAAGCAUCUGGAAUGUCAGAUCCAGUCCUGUGAGCUCUUGGUGCCCCAGGAGCCUAGAACCUCUUCUCCUACAGUAACAUCUUUGGCAUCACCACCACGUUGCUUUGUUCGUUUCCUAAGCUGUGUUUGCCAGACCCUCUCAAGGUCUAGGAAACGGAAGCCUCCUAAGAAAGAGGACACCAAGCAGAUUGAGGGAGGAGGUGAUGCUAAGACUCUGAGACCGGGCCUGCUGAGGGGCAUAGGUAAAAACAGGGUGCAGCCUCACCACAGCCUGUAGCAACCUGAAGUAGAUACAGGUUCCCCCUGUGUUUGGUUUUCUGGUUUUCUCUAUGUUGUUAGUGUUAGUUGAGCUCUUAUCUGUCAAAGAAAGAACUGCUUUUAUGCUGAAAAACUCAAGCCUAAUGUGGUAGGAAAAGCAAAGUAACCCAGAGAAUUUUAACACAGUACCAAGUAGCGAAUUGUUCCUAUUUCCUCCCAUUAGGCUGAAGUGAGAUCUGCUCUGGAGCCGUGACUCCCAAAUUCAUGUAUAUUUCACUCAGGUAUUCAGUGGUCUUAAUUUUUCUUAACUCCUCUGAGGAUGGAAACUAUACAACAUCAUUUUGAGUAAUGUCUCCUGGUAUCGACCAUCAAGUGGAGACUCCAUCCAUGCAGCUCCUUUCCUUUUCUUUUACCUUUGGCUAGAGAUACGUUUUGCAUUCUUCAUCUUCUGUCUUUUGCUGAAAAUCUGCCACAUUCUACUUGAUUUCGAUGUGCUGGAGGGGAUGAUGUUUGCUACUGUUCUUGGACAGAAUGCCACUGUCCUCUCCACCUCUCACCAUUCUUUGCUUUUCCUUUUGCCACUUGUUAGUAAGAUACCUGGCUCUUCCUUCUGAAGUGUUCUCUAAGAUUGUUUUGAAAGCACAGUCACACAAAGUAAUGCUCCUUUCUUGUCAUACAUAAUAGCCAGAGUCCUAAGUUCUUCUGAGAGUCCUAAGGAAAACAAGUACUUUAAAAAACUUUGAGAUCAUUUCAUGUCCACUUUGUCCUGACAUGCUAGUUUCAUUCUCUACCCAGGAUAGAAAGUGAUAAUUUAAAUUACUCUUCUGGUCUUCUUUGAGGGAGAGUUACCCCAUAGCUUGAAUUACCUUUUAUUUUUUACUUGUCCCACUUUCUGAAUUCAUGUAAAAAUAAUAAAUGAAGUACAAAUAUGAAUUAGUGUGUGAAGACUCUUCAUAAGAAGGAAGUUGUAUGCUUUCUUCCAUCCUCAGGACUACCUUAAAAUUGGGAAAGUAACCAAUAUUUUUGUUUUUUCUCUUUUCUUUUAGAACAUAGGGCUUUCGAAGUUGUAGUUGGGAAGGGAAUUGAAUACAUUGCAAGAGCAAUGGCAAACAUGCUUGUGAUUCUUCUGGAGAUAAUUAGUACAAACUGGUCUUGAAGAAGUCUUGUGAUGUGGUGAGGAUCUCAAAUUAGAAUUAGAAGUUGCAAAACACCAUAUUCAGUGAUUGGUCUAAAAUGGAGCACCUUUAAAAGUCAGUCAUGACUUGAUACCUUUACUUGUUUAAAAAUGGUUGAUUUCUUGUUUUAGAGAAUAUGGAGUUUUAAUAAUGCUAAUUGACCACUAUAAAUGGGUUCAAGCUAAUAUAUGAAAUUUCAAAUUAUCUAGACUAUCUUAUGUAUCUCAAUUUAAUACAAAUGGCAUAUUCUCUAAAGUAUGCAAAGUCCUGUGUCAUAGAGCCUAUUAUUAAAAGUGCAAAGGAAAAUGGGUCAUAAUUUUGGUGCUAUUAGUACUUUAUUAUUGUUAUUUAUUAUAAAAUGUUUCAAGAUAAGUUGUUAGAUCAUAGAAAAACUGUUAGUGGAGUUUAGUUAGCCACUUCUUCAAUCCCAUCUACAAUACUGAUUUUCACAUCAAGUCUAUUUACCCAAAAUUUAGAGUACAGAUUUCAGAUAAGAAAGGUCUAUACAAGCACUUUGCUUUGUAUUCAAACAAGAGAAACAAGCAGGAGAAAGGGUGUCCCCUCUGAUACCUUUGUAAAUGAGAAAAUGUAUCCUCUCAAAUUUCAAAUUGUGUGUUGCUGUUUUUAUGGUUUGAAUUAUUAAACAUGGU